Molecule: non-coding RNA, 562 nt
Organism: Canis lupus familiaris (dog)
Lineage: Eukaryota; Metazoa; Chordata; Mammalia; Carnivora; Canidae
Source: the annotation of a RefSeq genome assembly
CCUCUGCUCAUGCUCACGAGAACCUCAACCCGGCAAACCUCCCAGGCCAGCCCUGGCUCCACCAUGGGCCCCAGGCUCCUCUGCUGUGUGACCCUCUGUCUCUUGGGGGCAGGUCACGCAGAACCCGGAGUCUCCCAAUCCCCCAGGCACAGGGUCACGAAGAGGGGCCAGAAUGUAUCUUUCACCUGUGAUCCCAUUUCUGGGCAUGUUGUCCUUUACUGGUACCGACAGACCAUGGGGCAGGGCCCGGAGUUUCUGGUUUACUUCCAAAACGAAGAGGCAAUGGACGAGUCAGGGCUGGACAAGACUCGGUUCUCUGCCAAGAGGCCCAAGGGGACCAGAUCCACUCUGCAGAUCCAGCGUGCAGAGCAGAGGGACUCGGCUGUGUACCUCUGUGCCAGCAGUCUCACCACAGUGGGGCACAGUCACCUCCUUCCUCUUUACAAACCUCAGACUCCCCUCUCCUUGCUGUGGCUGGUGCCCCUAAACAGGCUCUCUAGUCCCCAGUGGAAAGAAGUGGGACAUCAGCUGUCCUGUGGGUAGAAAGAGACACAAGAUAAAC